UUCACCUCCUCCUAUAACAAUAAUCAUUCAAAUUGCAGUUAAUUCGUUCCUAUUGCAAGUAAUUCAUUCUAUUAAUAAAAUAAAGUAAAUGCAUAACACAUAUCAAUAUAUCCCAAUCCGAUCUUGCCCCAAUUCAUUAGAAUUUAAAACUUUUUAAUCUUAAAAUUAAUCAAAUUAAUCUUAAUAUAUAAAUAAGCAUCAAUCUUUUUGAUUGAUUAUACUUCUUAUUAUUACCAGCUUUUAUACUAUACAGAAAAUUGAAAGAAGAAAAUAAGAUAAAAUUGAA
This 286-nucleotide long non-coding RNA is filed under the name Lathyrus oleraceus (garden pea). RNAcentral's name for it is "Pisum sativum (pea) long non-coding RNA (PSAT_LNC032318)". The record is from RNAcentral. Lineage: Eukaryota; Viridiplantae; Streptophyta; Magnoliopsida; Fabales; Fabaceae.